UACCGUUUUCAUUUUUACGCGAACCCUACGAGCCGGUACAAUUAUUCUGUAAGAUUCAAACAGGAUGCGGAAACAUCGUUGAAGUUCAACGGCCACUGUGUUUAAUAUCGCGUCUGCAAAGUGCGUAAGUAUUCAGUGUAAAUAAGUGAGUUUGGUAAACCAUAUGGGAAAAGCGCUGUUCCGGAAUCUCGGGUGUUGGGUAACCCAAAACUCCCCGAGCGGGGAAAGGGCUCCCGCAG
Non-coding RNA from Cinara cedri, 239 nucleotides. Lineage: Eukaryota; Metazoa; Arthropoda; Insecta; Hemiptera; Aphididae. The record is from the annotation of a GenBank genome assembly.